CCUACGGGAGGCAGCAGUGAGGAAUAUUGGUCAAUGGACGAGAGUCUGAACCAGCCAAGUCGCGUGAGGGAUGACGGCCCUACGGGUUGUAAACCUCUUUUAUAUGGGAACAAAGCGUACCACGUGUGGUAUUUUGUAUGUACCCUAUGAAUAAGGAUCGGCUAACUCCGUGCCAGCAGCCGCGGUAAUACGGAGGAUCCGAGCGUUAUCCGGAUUUAUUGGGUUUAAAGGGUGGGUAGGCGGAAUGUUAAGUCAGCGGUGAAAGUUCGCGGCUCAACCGUAGAAUUGCCGUUGAAACUGGAUGGCUUGAGUACGUUAGAGGUGGGCGGAAUGCGUGGUGUAGCGGUGAAAUGCUUAGAUAUCACGCAGAACUCCGAUUGCGAAGGCAGCACACUGGACCGCAACUGACGCUGAUGCACGAAAGCGUGGGUAUCGAACAGGAUUAGAUACCCUAGUAGUC
RNAcentral lists this ribosomal RNA (460 nucleotides) under uncultured bacterium. RNAcentral's name for it is "partial 16S ribosomal RNA". It matches the Rfam family "Bacterial small subunit ribosomal RNA", at positions 338 to 795 of the family's 1533-position model. The record is from RNAcentral.